GCUCCCUUCGUCUAGUGGUUAGGACGAGAGAUUCUCAGUCUUUAAACAGGGGUUCGACUCCCCUAGGGAGUA
RNAcentral lists this transfer RNA (72 nucleotides) under Spirochaetaceae bacterium. RNAcentral describes it as "tRNA-Glu". It matches the Rfam family "tRNA". From Rfam's summary of the family: Transfer RNA (tRNA) molecules are approximately 80 nucleotides in length. Their secondary structure includes four short double-helical elements and three loops (D, anti-codon, and T loops). Further hydrogen bonds mediate the characteristic L-shaped molecular structure. tRNAs have two regions of fundamental functional importance: the anti-codon, which is responsible for specific mRNA codon recognition, and the 3' end, to which the tRNAs corresponding amino acid is attached (by aminoacyl-tRNA synthetases). tRNAs cope with the degeneracy of the genetic code in two manners: having more than one tRNA (with a specific anti-codon) for a particular amino acid; and 'wobble' base-pairing, i.e. permitting non-standard base-pairing at the 3rd anti-codon position. Lineage: Bacteria; Pseudomonadati; Spirochaetota; Spirochaetia; Spirochaetales; Spirochaetaceae. The record is from RNAcentral. RNAcentral also lists the same sequence under 1 other name.